ACAUAGACAAUAAACUCUUGUCAAAUAUCAAACCUUCCUUUGGGCCGAUUUAAUAUUCAAAUAGAAAACCAAAUAAUUGUCUCAUAUUUAUCACCACAAGCAUGUUUGAAUUCCUGCCAAAUAACAACCUUCCUUUGGUCCGGUGUUAAACGUAUGGAAGACUAACAUCCACAGUCAUCUUAUAUUUCAAGAUUAAUCAAUCUACACAAUAGAGGUUACUUUGGCAACAUAAUGCUUCNNN
This 241-nucleotide long non-coding RNA is filed under the name Nicotiana benthamiana. RNAcentral describes it as "long non-coding RNA (NBEN_LNC034256)". The record is from RNAcentral. Lineage: Eukaryota; Viridiplantae; Streptophyta; Magnoliopsida; Solanales; Solanaceae.